Molecule: long non-coding RNA, 398 nt
Filed under: Pan troglodytes (chimpanzee)
Lineage: Eukaryota; Metazoa; Chordata; Mammalia; Primates; Hominidae
Description: long non-coding RNA NONPTRT010554
Source: RNAcentral
CAGAAAGAUAUAGGCAUAAGAAUGUUCAUCUUAAAUAGUAAACUACCAAGCUAUUUAAAAUAUUGAAAAAGAAUAUUUAAGGAACUUCAAGAUGGCUGACUAGCAUUUCAUGCUUGCCUCCUCCAUUGAGAAGAACCAAAAUGGUAUACAGACAAUCACACUUCAAAUACAUCAUCCAAGAGAACACUGGUAGAAAUAAUAUCAAGCAUCUUCUAUGACCACAAUAUAAUAAAACUAGAAAUCAAUGAGAGGAAUUUUAGAAGCCAUACAAAUACAUGGAAAUUAAAUAAUAUGUUCCAGGAUGACCUGGCAGUCAAUGAAGAAAUUAAGAAGAAAAUUGAAAAAUUUUUUGAAACAAAUGAUAAUGGAAACAAAACAUACAAAACUAUGGGAUACAG